UGCAAUGUUGUGGAGGAGAUCCGCUUUG
Molecule: non-coding RNA, 28 nt
Filed under: Mus musculus (house mouse)
Lineage: Eukaryota; Metazoa; Chordata; Mammalia; Rodentia; Muridae
Source: RNAcentral